RNAcentral lists this transfer RNA (73 nucleotides) under Bos taurus (domestic cattle). It matches the Rfam family "tRNA". From Rfam's summary of the family: Transfer RNA (tRNA) molecules are approximately 80 nucleotides in length. RNAcentral also lists the same sequence under 5 other names. Lineage: Eukaryota; Metazoa; Chordata; Mammalia; Artiodactyla; Bovidae. The record is from Rfam by way of RNAcentral.
UCCCUAGUGGUCCAGUGGUUAAGACUCUGUGCUUCCACCACAGGGGGCACAGGUUAGAUCCCCGGUCAGGGAA